This 1963-nucleotide long non-coding RNA is filed under the name Olea europaea subsp. europaea. Lineage: Eukaryota; Viridiplantae; Streptophyta; Magnoliopsida; Lamiales; Oleaceae. The record is from RNAcentral.
CAAUAAUUUCAUAUUUGAAGAGUAAUCAGAGAUCAAGUAAUGGUAACAUUGUGCAAAAAUCAAAUCUUGAUACAAAACUUACAAUAAUUAUGCAAUUCUCAAGACAGAUCCACAAUCAAAGAGUACAAAUAACCCAAAAAAAGAAUCUGGUACCUAAAGGCCACGUACCUAUAAACUACAAGAACCCGGAAAAGAACAGGGCUUGAAAGAAAGAACAAGAAUUAGAAAAGCGCCUAAUUUUACAAGCAUGAGAAGGGCUUAGCUUUGGCACCUAAUCUCUAUGUUCAACUGCCUGCCAUCUUUCUAUUAAUAUAACAUCUCCAAAUUCUUGUCCAGAUUGGGUGUAGUACUGCUAUUUCAUUUUCUCAAUCAUAUUACAUAUGAUUUGUCUUUUCCAACUAUCCCACUAUUAAUAUGAUUUAAAAGUACUUGUCUCUUAUUCUUCAAAUUCCUCAAAUUGCAUCUAUAAAAAGCAAAUGAAGAUGAACUUAUCUAUUUCUAAUUAGUGCACCCCACCCUACGCUAAGAAAGUGAAAUAAAACAAAAUAAAGAAUCUUUGCCUCAAGCUCUACGACACAGAAACGAAAAAAGAUCUUAGAUAAAACAAUAAUCACAUUGGUUAGAGUAAAUGCAAUCUUCCAUUCAUCAACUAGGAUCAACAAAUUAGAGUAAAUGCAACAAUGGAACAUCAUAUUUAUCUGCACAAGUAGAUUGCAUGCCCAGGCCUAUUAAGAAAUGUACUCGCCCCUAAGAUGGCCAGCCCCCGAGGCCAAUAUGCAGGGGAGAAAUGAAGCAGCAGAAAAAAGGCCAAAAUAAUAUACUAAAGUGACCGGUUAAUAUUGAUUUAUUUUUCUGUAAAAAAACAUAGAGAUAAGUAUAUCUACUUAUAAAAAUGAACAUACAAAGUGAAAAUUGAAGGCUUAAAUCACUGAUUCUUAUCCAACCAUUUGUCGAGUCCACUUGCUAGUGGAAUGCUUAAAUCACUAAUUCUUACUGAUAUUAGUACACGUGCCCAUCCAGUCAUACAUUUUGUCCAAGUGAACCCAAAUAUUAGUAUCAGCAGUCCCCAGCGGCUACAUUUAAAAAUCCUCAUCCAUCAGCCUUAACCAGCCACCUCUGCAAAUGCAUGAACCCAACCACACGCCCCACUCCUAUAAAAGCCACUCAUCCACUCUUCACACUCAAUCCUCACUUCAAUCCCUUUUCUCAUGUGAGCACAAAAAGACUGCGAACGCAGAAUUUCAAGAAUUGAAAAUGCCUUCGCAGUGCUUGCCUCUAGUCUCCAAAUGCACAAUUUUCCUAGCCCAUAAAUCCAAUUUGGGUGUCCUUAAACUUUCUGUUUCGGACCUCCCGUGCUAUCUUGCCACUACACUUAGAAAGGGUGUUUGUUUACCCAUCCACCAUUUCCCAUUUAUGAACUCAUUGCUCUAUUCAAAACCAGAUUCAAGAAUUCUAUAGUAGAAAAGUAGAGCAAGAUUGUCAGGACAUCAUUCCAUUUAGUUUGAAAUGGUGGACUUCAUUUCAUAUUCUAUCAAAAAGCCAAAAUGGAAUAAAAAAGGAGCGGUUCAACUACAAGCUUCCAGCCAUUUCCCCUUCUACUAAAAAAUCCCGAGAUGGAUCAAAAUAAUUGUACCCAAAUAAACCCAUUGAGCAAAAUAACAUGCGAUUAACACCUAAAUAAUAAUAAAAAAAACAGUUCAAUCACUAAACCCAUUAAGCAAAAUCACAUUUGAAGCAUAAAUAAGACGAAAAUCGCAACAAUGAAGAAAUCCUUAAUUUACCUCUUGGGAAUUAUGAAGAAGAAUCGAAGGAAGACCUCUGCUGCUGAGGCUGUUCUUGGGAUGCAAAGUAUUGAGACUUUACUUCAAAGGAUCGGUAACUCAGUUUAAGAGUUUUGGAGGAAAUGAAAGAUUUUCCUUCAAACUAUUGAUAUUUUAGGUGUUUUUCGCAUUUUCAAUUCUUU